GCGGAUGUAGCUCAGCUGGAUAGAGUACCUGGCUACGAACCAGGCGGUCGGAGGUUCGACUCCUCCCAUCCGCA
Transfer RNA from Shewanella violacea DSS12, 74 nucleotides. It matches the Rfam family "tRNA". From Rfam's summary of the family: Transfer RNA (tRNA) molecules are approximately 80 nucleotides in length. Their secondary structure includes four short double-helical elements and three loops (D, anti-codon, and T loops). The record is from Rfam. NCBI's taxonomy places the organism in Bacteria, Pseudomonadati, Pseudomonadota, Gammaproteobacteria, Alteromonadales, Shewanellaceae.